This 73-nucleotide transfer RNA is filed under the name Bos taurus (domestic cattle). It matches the Rfam family "tRNA". From Rfam's summary of the family: Transfer RNA (tRNA) molecules are approximately 80 nucleotides in length. Their secondary structure includes four short double-helical elements and three loops (D, anti-codon, and T loops). RNAcentral also lists the same sequence under 3 other names. Lineage: Eukaryota; Metazoa; Chordata; Mammalia; Artiodactyla; Bovidae. The record is from Rfam by way of RNAcentral.
UCUCUGGUGGUCUAGUGGUUAAGUCUCUGUGCUUCUACUGCAGGGGGCAUGGGUUCAAUUCCCAGUCAGGGAA